AACGGCCGCGGGAUCCUCCACCGUGCAAAGGUAGCAUAAUCACUUGUCCCCUAAAUAGUGACUAGUAUGAAUGGCCAAAUGAAGAUUUUACUGUCUCUUAUAGCCGAUCUAUGAAACUAAACUAUCAGUACAAAAGCUGAUAUAUUAACAUAAGACGAAAAGACCCUGUGGAACUUCAAGCACAAACCCACCAUAAUGGCCCACCUGCUUUUAGUUGGGGCAACUUUGGAAAAAAACAAAACUUCCAAUAAAAUUAAAGAUUAACACAUCUAUAUAGUUAUAUACCCGACCCAACACCUGUUGAUCAAAGAACCAAGCUACCCCAGGGAUAACAGCGCCAUCCCCUCUUAGAGCCCAAAUCGACGAGCGGGGUUUACGACCUCGAUGUUGGAUCAGGGCCCCCAAACAGUGCAACAGCUGUUAACGGU
Molecule: ribosomal RNA, 428 nt
Filed under: Pholidobolus montium
Lineage: Eukaryota; Metazoa; Chordata; Lepidosauria; Squamata; Gymnophthalmidae
Description: partial 16S ribosomal RNA
Rfam family: Bacterial large subunit ribosomal RNA
Source: RNAcentral